This 301-nucleotide ribosomal RNA is filed under the name uncultured bacterium. RNAcentral describes it as "partial 16S ribosomal RNA". It matches the Rfam family "Bacterial small subunit ribosomal RNA", at positions 509 to 807 of the family's 1533-position model. The record is from RNAcentral.
CAGCCGCCGCGGUAAAACGGAGGGGGCUAGCGUUGUUCGGAAUUACUGGGCGUAAAGCGCACGUAGGCUGCUUUGUAAGUCAGAGGUGAAAGCCCGGGGCUCAACCCCGGAUGUGCCUUUGAGACUGCAGGGCUAGAACGUCGGAGAGGUGAGUGGAAUUCCGAGUGUAGAGGUGAAAUUCGUAGAUAUUCGGAAGAACACCAGUGGCGAAGGCGGCUCACUGGACGACUGUUGACGCUGAGGUGCGAAAGCGUGGGGAGCAAACAGGAUUAGAUACCCGUGUAGUCCCUGUCUCUUAUAC